Molecule: ribosomal RNA, 900 nt
Filed under: Cordyceps tenuipes
Lineage: Eukaryota; Fungi; Ascomycota; Sordariomycetes; Hypocreales; Cordycipitaceae
Description: partial large subunit ribosomal RNA
Rfam family: Eukaryotic large subunit ribosomal RNA
Source: RNAcentral
AGCGGGAGGAGAGCAACAGGGAUUGCCCCAGUAACGGCGAGUGAAGCGGCAACAGCUCAAAUUUGAAAUCUGGCCCCCGGGUCCGAGUUGUAAUUUGCAGAGGAUGCUUCGGGCGAGGUGCCUUCCGAGUUCCCUGGAACGGGACGCCACAGAGGGUGAGAGCCCCGUCUGGUCGGACACCGAGCCCGUGUGAAGCUCCUUCGAAGAGUCGAGUAGUUUGGGAAUGCUGCUCAAAAUGGGAGGUAUAUGUCUUCUAAAGCUAAAUAUUGGCCAGAGACCGAUAGCGCACAAGUAGAGUGAUCGAAAGAUGAAAAGCACUUUGAAAAGAGGGUUAAAAAGUACGUGAAAUUGUUGAAAGGGAAGCGCCCAUGACCAGACUUGGGCCCGGUGAAUCACCCGGCGUUCUCGCCGGUGCACUUUGCCGGGCACAGGCCAGCAUCAGUUUGGCGCGGGGGACAAAGGCUUCGGGAACGUGGCUCCCCCGGGAGUGUUAUAGCCCGCUGCGUAAUACCCUGCGCCGGACUGAGGUACGCGCAUCGCAAGGAUGCUGGCGUAAUGGUCAUCAGCGACCCGUCUUGAAACACGGACCAAGGAGUCGUCUUCGUAUGCGAGUGUUCGGGUGUCAAACCCCUACGCGGAAUGAAAGUGAACGCAGGUGAGAGCUUCGGCGCAUCAUCGACCGAUCCUGAUGUUCUCGGAUGGAUUUGAGUAAGAGCAUACGGGGCCGGACCCGAAAGAAGGUGAACUAUGCCUGUAUAGGGUGAAGCCAGAGGAAACUCUGGUGGAAGCUCGCAGCGGUUCUGACGUGCGAAUCGAUCGUCAAAUAUGGGCAUGGGGGCGAAAGACUAAUCGAACCUUCUAGUAGCUGGUUUCCGCGAGUUUCUCUCUCUCCCCGAAGAA